Molecule: long non-coding RNA, 881 nt
Filed under: Betta splendens (Siamese fighting fish)
Lineage: Eukaryota; Metazoa; Chordata; Actinopteri; Anabantiformes; Osphronemidae
Description: lncRNA (ENSBSLG00000019181.1)
Source: RNAcentral
GUGUGAGCCGUCGAUCGUCUGAAGGAUUUCAGUAAGAGCUGCUCAUGUUUCCACCGCUGAACCACAUCCUGGGGGCCCAUUUCUGCAGCCAGAGGUUCUGCACGGUGCUCAACAGGCUGAUGGGGAUCGACUUCACUGCGGCUCUUGGGACUCUGCAGAUCAUGGUGGGUCUGUUCAACAUCAGCCUGGGUCCGGGACGAACGAGCACGCACCCUGAGGACCUGACUGACCUGGGAGCAGCCUACUGGCUGGGUGCUGUGUUCGUCACCUCUGGAAUAGUUUCCCUUGUGUUCAAUCGUUGUUGCUGGCUCUCGGCUAUCGUGAACAUAGUGGCGGCCAUUUUCUCCAUCGUUGGCAUUGUGCUGUACGUCACCGACCUGAACGGACCUCCAGUUUACUCCAUGUGUAACCAGACCAGCAGCGCCGUUGAUGUUUAUGAUCACGACUGUUUCCUCGUGGCACAGUUCGCCCAGAAGCUGUUGAGGGACCUGGACAUCGCUUUAGCCGUGAUGAGUGCGCUCCAGCUGUGGGCCAGCAGCAGCGUGGCUCUGUCUCACAUCGUGGCUUCAGGCGCCUGGGAGGAGGGAGCGGUACGAGCGCAUUCUGUGCAUUACAGCUCUGUGCCUGCACUGUCCCAUUCUCAGCUUUGUUGACUGUGUUGUGUGUCAGCAGGUUGGAGAAAAGGAGUUGAUGAAGGAAGUCGUGUCCAGUCCUGGUGCUUAAGUCAUUGUCAUGUAUGCAAUGACUUAACAGCAUUUUAUUUCAAACUGCCUGCUUGUUUCUGCAUCAGUUUUACUUCUGUUGCUCUAAAUAUGAACUGUCUGAUUCAACACAUAUAAAAUGUUAUGGAAAUAAAACAUCUCAUCUCUCUGUACUGGUCA